RNAcentral lists this ribosomal RNA (494 nucleotides) under uncultured bacterium. RNAcentral's name for it is "partial 16S ribosomal RNA". It matches the Rfam family "Bacterial small subunit ribosomal RNA", at positions 28 to 507 of the family's 1533-position model. The record is from RNAcentral.
GACGAACGCUGGCGGCGUGCUUAACACAUGCAAGUCGAACGGUGACGCGCCUUCCUUUUUGGUGGGUGUGGAUGAGUGGCGAACGGGUGAGUAACACGUGAGUCACCUGCCCCCUUCUUCUGGAUAACCGCCUGAAAGUGUGGCCAAUACGGGAUAUUCUGGGUCUGCCGCAUGAUGGGUCUGGGAAAGAUAUUGUUUCGGUGGGUGAUGGGCUCGCGGCCUAUCAGCUUGUUGGUGGGGUGAUGGCCUACCAAGGCGGUGACGGGUAGCCGGCCUGGGAGGAUGGACGGACACAAUGGGACUGAGACACGGGCCAGACUCCGACGGGAGGCAGCGGUGGGGAAUAUCGCACAGUGGGAGCAAGGCUGAUGCAGCGACGCCGCGUGAGGGAUGGAGGCCGGCGGGUUGUGAACCUCUUUCGCGAGUGAAGCAGUCCUGCCUCGUAUGUGGGUGGGUUGACGGUAGCUGAAUAGGAAGCGCCGGCUAACUACGUG